This is a long non-coding RNA of Lynx canadensis (Canada lynx), 202 nucleotides long. RefSeq lists it as uncharacterized. The record is from RefSeq and is a predicted model, not a curated record. The transcript has 3 exons. NCBI's taxonomy places the organism in Eukaryota, Metazoa, Chordata, Mammalia, Carnivora, Felidae.
UGCUGAAAGGAGAAAAUCCGUAGCCAAGAAAACUUUAUCCAUCAAGGCUAUCAUUUCGAAUAGAAGGAGAGAUAAAGAGUUUCCCAGACAAACAAAAGUUAAAGAAAUUCAUGAUCACUAAAACAGCCCUAUAAGAAAUGGUAAAGGGACACUUUGAGUGGAAAGAAAAGACUCAUAAGCAAGAGUGAGAAAAGAUAGGAAG